UACGGGAAGGGGCUAGCGUUGUUCGGAAUCACUGGGCGUAAAGCGCUCGUAGGCGGAUCUUUAAGUCCAGAGGUGAAAAUCCCGAAGGCUCAACCUUGGAACUGCCUUUGAUACUGGGGAUCUCGAGUCCGGGAGAGGUGAGUGGAACUGCGAGUGUAGAGGUGAAAUUCGUAGAUAUUCGCAAGAACACCAGUGGCGAAGGCGGCUCA
Molecule: ribosomal RNA, 209 nt
Filed under: uncultured bacterium
Lineage: Bacteria
Description: partial 16S ribosomal RNA
Rfam family: Bacterial small subunit ribosomal RNA
Source: RNAcentral